GCCAUGAGUCCGGUAGGUUGAGGAGGCGGUCUUGAAAACUUGCCGACCGUAAAGGGUUCUGGGGUUCGAAUCCCUAUCAUGGCG
Molecule: transfer RNA, 84 nt
Filed under: Bacteriophage sp.
Also listed under: 1 other name
Description: tRNA-OTHER
Rfam family: tRNA
About the family: Transfer RNA (tRNA) molecules are approximately 80 nucleotides in length.
Source: RNAcentral